GUCACAUGGCCAUUCACCACAAAGCUUAAGCUCCCGCCUCCUUCCUCUGCUCUAUGUACUGGAGGACUCAGGGAGACACCUCUUUCCCUGAAACUCCCUACCCCAUUCAUAAAGUGAAGGGCUAUUCUCAAAAAGCCAGGUCGAGUGCAGCCACAGGGACCUCCAGGCAGAACCAGAACUGAAAUGGUGCAAUGCCAAAGCUGGAAGGGAGCUUAGAACUCAGUUAGUGAGUGUCCUUUAGGCCUCCUGUUGUGGAUCUGAGAACUGAGGCUCGGAGAGGUUAAGACACGAGAGGCAUCCAGGCGUCCGUAAAUUCUAGGCUUCCCACUUUUCAGCAGAACAGAAAGCAUUUAAAGUGUACAGAAAGUCAAACCGGGCUAGAGGAGUUUAAAGGGACUCUGCAGAAGAUGCAACCUGAGCAUGGAGAGAAGGAACUAGUUGUGAUUGGAAAACAAAGCAUCGUCCGGGAGCAUCUCCCCACAAAGCUCGCAUCAGUUACAAAUGGAAAGUGGUGAUCGACUUUACGGUGGAGAAAUCUGGCCUGUCACCAAGGGCAACGGCACCACAGGUGGGACGAGUAGGCCGUGUGCUCCCGAGAUGGUGCUCCGGCAUCAUUCCUGAGGUACCCGGCCAAGAGUGCGCGGCCUGAGACUGGUCAGGGGGCAAGACUGGGCUGAGCCAGUCUGAGGGUCAACUACAGAACGAAGGGUCAUGCUCUUAAGAUUGUCGAGGACACAGAGGCAAAGAAAGGCUGAGUGACUUCCCUAUCGAGAUCCGAGGCGUGAUCCUGGAUUGAGUUUUGGACAGAAAGGAUAAGGUGACACUUGGGACUGUUGGUGGAAUUCAAAGCGGGUUUCUGGUUUGGACGGUAGUGUUGCAUCAAAGGCGAUCUCCUCAUGUGGAUGAUUGUGUUGUGGUUCUGUAGGAGAGUGUCUUUGUUUUGGGGAAAUGCUCACUGGACUAUACAGGAGUGGUGGCACCAGCUUUACAGCUUGCUCUCAAGUAGUUCAGAAGAGAAGUAAUGGAACGAGAGAGCGAGCGCACACACACAGAAGCAAACGGGGUAGAAUUGGGGGGUCUGGGUGAAGGGAUGUGGUGGUUCUUUGUACUGCUCUUGUGACUUUUCUGUAAGUGUGGAAUUAUGUCAAAAUUUAAAAAAAAGGAAACCAGAAACCAGAGAGCCUCGUCCCCCAACACUCCAGUCCCAACUAAACCAAGAAAGAGAAAAAAACACCCUCAGCCAGUUGUCUAGCGCCCUCAUGCUUGUCACUAGGAAGAUUUCCAGAGAGGAAUCUUUUAAAAGAGCCUUGUAUUUCUUAUACUUAAAUGAAUAAGAAUAUCUCUUACUUGUAUUACUUUAAGCUUCUUAUUAUUUCAAAAUUUCUCUUAUUUAAAGUCUCUGGAGGAGAAGUUUCUCUUGAAUAUUCUUAGAAUCAAGAGUACUGGGAAUUUUAUUCCCUUGAAUGUACCGUCCCUCAGGGUGUUUUUAAUAUUAACAUCCUCUGGGACCUGGGAGUGACACAUUGCCUAUUUCCUGAAGGUGAGCCUGCCCAACUCUUGUGCCAGCUCUCCGGGAGUGGUUGGAGGGCCCAGCACGGAUCAGACUGCCCGCGGGACUUGCGUUAAUGAGUCCUGAUCGCUGGGCUGCGGCAACGAAUCUCGAAUCUCCCAGGCUGUUAGGAUGCCAUUGACUAGCUGAACUGAAGGCGAAGCGGAAACAGUUGUUUUGAGGUGUAUUACGACUGAAUCAGGGCCAGUUUAACUUAACAAUCUCUUGCCUCUCAGACAUAGGGAUGUGUGUGUGUAUGUGUGUGCACGUGUGCACCAGCCUUUGCUUAUACCUGCACACGCACAUUCCAGUUGCUCAGAACAGGGACAUCCCCUCACUGCCGGUAUGCCCAGUAUCUGUCCCCCUCCUCUCUGUGCCCACCCUUUUGUGCUCCCUUCUGUGGUCCAAGGACCUGGGGGUUUGCAAAUGAUGUUGUCCGGAUUCGCUGUGGUUUCAGUUCCUGUCGGUGUCUGCCAAUGGCAGAUGCUGUCAGGUGACUGGAAGGAGACAGGAACGAAAAGCACUUUUUGUCCUAUUUUUUCUGAAAGUAGCGGUGGUAGCAACAGUAACAAAGUUUGCAACCUGCUCAGGCGGUGUGCUUACUACAACUGAGGCAGCAGUGGGCCUUUUGCAGACUCGGGAGGACGGCAUGGGGCCCGGCCUCCCUUGGAGUGUGGUGUAGGGGUUCCUGGCAGCCUCAGGGCAGCCCUCCUGGGUUCCGGGUAAUUCCAGUGUUCUCUUUCAGCCUCAGGAGGGGUAGCAGAUUCCUAAUGUUAUUUAUCUUGGGGUAAUCUUACUUUUUUCCUCUUUUCUCAGCCUUUCCAAUAAUUUGUGAUCUACUCCUUGUAUUAAAUUCCCUGUUUGAAACACCUAGAGCAGUUUCUCAUUCCGCAGGUUUUGCAGAAUAGAUGGAAAAUCCAGGUAGGCCUCUCAUCUGAUACCUCUAUGAUUACCAAACAGUUUGUAGCUGGGAGGGCAAGACAGUUCCGAGAGGAGCGUCCUGUUUUCCUGCUUGUUUCUGAUGAUAAGAACGUCACGUGGACAUAAAGCGGGUCUACAGCACAUGUCUGUAGUUUUUUCCUGUCCUUCUGACAUUUGAUGCAGUUAAACACUUUUCAUUUCUGUUGUCACCCUCAGUUGCUAUUUCCUUCCAGUCUCACAGCAGUGUUUCUUCACCGUUCACAACAUUAACAGGGCCUCCAUCAAACUUACUUUCUUUUUGAGCUCUUCCUUUGGUUUAUAAUUUGGGGUUCGAUCCAUUAUCUCUCCUUAACUUUGCUCUUUCACUGAUUUACUCAUUCUCUCAUAUUUAAACAUUUCAUGCAACCCCCCUUCUUCCCCUGGAAAAUUUACUGGGCAUUUACUAUCCCAGGCACUGGGCUGGAAUCUGGACACACAGGAGCCUUACAGACACAUUUGCUGCCCUCGUGAGCCCACCAUUUAGUGAGGCCGAUGGGCCAGUCCAUAGGCAGUUCGCACGUGGUGUGAGAGGUGCUACAACAGCGUGGGGCACUGGACCCUUGUCUACCAAAGGCGCUUCUUUGAUGUUCCCCCACUUCAGUGCGUGUGGGCCCCAUGAUCCACUGCACCUCACACUCAAGGAAGCCCUGAUCUGGGCUGAUGUGGACAAUAAUUCAACCAAUGAUUCAUGUGGCCAAAAUGAAAAUAAACAAAUAAAGUCUGAACACAAUGGUUUUUCAAACAGGCUGUGAGAGUCUGAGACUAACAGGCAACCCAAGAGCAGAGCUCUCAGCGGCCUCCCAGUGGCCGCGGUGGUUUGUGGAGCAGGACUGCCCACGCUCGUGCCCCAAACUGAGGGGACAGCAACUCACGUGUCCCGUUUUCCUCUAGGGCCCAGAACUGCUGGCACUGUUUAAGUGACUUCUGUCUCUCUUUAAAACCCUCUUUUUGGCCAAGCCCCAUUGGGUAGCUCAAAUGUGCAUCAACGAAAGUCCACUGAAUGUAACUGUUGAUGUUGCUCCCCAUUUCUUACUAUUUCUUGUACUGUAGGGUCUCACCACAUGCAUUUUUAACUCACUUGAAAUUAACUUUACUUGUGAGCCAACUGCUUCCCCUGUGCUCCGCACCCCCCAUAAUAUUCUUCCUCCCCAAAGAAGAGAGAGACAAAGAGGAAAGUAGUCCAGGGCGCAGGAGAUGGGGAUGAGCAUGCCUGGGGGAAUAUGGGCUAAGCUCUGUCCCUCUGCUGUGACCACACCUUCCGUCUAAGGAGGGACUAUGAGGAGGAAGCAGGUGGUCCAGGGAGUCCACUCUGCUGUGGUCCAGCGUGCUGACCCGUGCAGAGCUGGGGCCUCUGAACUCUGUCUUGGAGGCUCACGGGAGGCAGCUGAUUUCUACAUUGAGACAAGGAGUGUAGGAGCUCAUUAAGAAACGUCUAUUGGGGCUUGGACCAAUAAAUGUGGAAGGAGGAAGAGAGAAGAAUUUGUCUGCCUGGUCAUAUCUCCCAUUGGUCAAAGUGGGCUGCACAGAGCAUCAGGACCCCCACGCUUCCAAGUGGCUCUGUCUGGCGUCGCCCACAAAGGAAAGCCAGAUCCCCAAACAGCAGCAGAAGCAUCUGCAGCCUGAACCAGGGCACAUGGAGCCAGCGCAGCAACAGGGGAGCCCUGGGGCAGGAGGUGAGAGGCAUAUGGUGUGAGGCAUGAAGCAACAUGCUGUCGAGUUGUGCCUGCAAGCCACGUGAGGAACCGGGAACAUCUGCCACGAUGGACCCAGCCCAGCCAAGCAGGUUCAUCAUAACCCAGCAAGACUACGAAGAGCAGCUCCUCCCCACCUGGCGGCAUCCUGAACUGAAACCAGCCAGGCGCUUCCCCAGACCGGUGAGAACUGACCCCACCCAGGUUCCGCAGGCAGCCCAGCCUCAUGCUUCAUCGUGUGCAUCUUCCUCGUGCUCCAAGAAGGAGCCUGGCUCCGCUGUGUGUCUCAGCACCGUGAGACAAGGCCUUGGCCUUGAUGCUCUCACAACAGAAGCAUCCGCUCAUCCCCCAGACACGUCAUGGGGUGUGUCCAGCCCCAGGAGAGGAUUCUGCACUUGCUGGGUUUUCCUGCCAGAGGCGUGGUGGGAAUCGGAACAAGUUCAUGGCUGAGUAUUAAAAGGGUAUCCUGAGAGCACAGAAAAUGAAGACAGCUCUGUCACCAGCUUGUGGGUGACCCUGAGGAACAUGUGCAGGCUUCCGGUGUGGCUCCCUUAUUUAUUCCGGGAGAUGGCAGGUGGCAUGUUCCCAGCAGACAGGUGCUGGUGUCAGGAGCCCAGCACCUGUGUGCAUUAGACAGCAACGUUGGGUGGGGAAGAAGAGAGGUGGGUGGCAAGCCGAGGGACGCAGCCUUCCCUGCAUGCACAGGGGCGAGCUGAGCCCUGUGAAGGACUGGCCUGAGCGGGGACAUGUUCACAGAGGGAGCAAUUCUUGGUGAGGAGAGACAGUGAGGUCAUCCUCCUCCCAGGUGUGUCUUGGGAGAAGCGUGUCAGGGGGGAGUCGCAUGAUGAGGCCGCGGUUGAGUCAAUCUGCCUCGGAGAAGAGCUGGCAGCUGGGAGUAGGAGGGGAUGAGAGGUGAGGUGGCCGGAAGGGUCCUGAUAUGCAGGGAGGAGCUUUAUGGCCUAGUCUGGGCUGCCUAGAAUCCUCUGGUCACCUCUGCCCUUGUGCUAGCACGGCUGGCCACCUGGGCCAUUCCCUCACCUCAGCUCACUCAGCCUGCCCCACCCCUGGGCUGGAGGACACGCCUCAUUACAUAGUUUUCAGAUGGGUAAACUGAGGCAGGAGCCACUGCAGGCCCCGAGAGGAGGGGAAGAGAGCCAGGGAGCGACAACGCCCUGGUGAGGGUGAGGCACUCACAUCCGCCGCCCAGCCCUCCUUAGCCCUGUCAUGAGCAGUGUGCUCAGCUCCUGCCUCCCUCCUUCUCUGACCCUGACCCUUCCUGUUUCCCUGAGAGCCCUUGGCCCUCCCCGCCACCUCGCCCCCGGCCUGCACUGCCCGCGCUGCGACCACGUGCGGCGGCGCCUUGGUCCAGGGUCUUCCCUCUUCUCUGCUGCUCCUCGGUGGCUGCCCGCCGCAGGCGCGGGAGGAGGCAGGCGGCCGGUUCACCCGGAGGCCAGGGACUCCAGGCCACAGGGCACAGCCGAGCAUCCCCGCUGGGCAAGCCUCAGGAGCGGCUGGCGGCAGCAGGGGGCUGAAGGCCUGGUGGGGACAGGCAGCCCAGGCAGGAUGGAGCAGGCCCCAACUCCCAGCGAUGCCAAGGGCUCAGGGGCUUAGCGCUCGCUCUUGGGCUCGUGAACGGAAGCGGUGCUGCUCAUCCCCCAUCCUGCUAUCCCCAUCCCCCAUCCCCCAUCUCCCAUCUCCCAUCUCCCCAUCCGCCAUCCAAGUUCUUUGUCCUGUUUCAUUAGUUGAAUCAUGAGGCUUGACAGUACCGUAAAACUUGAAAUGUUCAAUUCUGCUUUUAAAAUGGAAAACUAAACAAAAACCAUUGUCCAGUGAGCUCCCAACCUAUCAGAGAGCAGAGCACUCGGUGGAGCCAGGGGCCUGGGCCACCAGCAGGCUGAGUGACCGUGGGCAGGUCACCUCAUCUCCCACCCCCUUGGGGUCCCUGGUUGUAAAUUGUUAGGAGUGGAUAUUUCUCCAAAGUUUCUCUGGUUUUCAGUAUUAUAAUGCUGAGUCUCAGAAACAUUGUUAGCAAGUAAUACAGUCAUAAAGCAAGUUACCACAAUAAUAACAAUAAAGUGUAACUACUCUGAUUUUUUAAAAUGCAAGUGUUUUAUUUUCAAAGGUGACUUGGAAAAUGCAGGAGUUAUCCCAAAGGGGAGGAACGUUUUCGUGUGGGACUGGUGUGGGGGCUGGGGCUGGUGUGGCGCACGCUCAGUAUUUCAGUUUCAGAUAGAGUUGGAAACUCGCUUCUCCCCAUUAAGCCCUGGAGGAAAUUAGUUACACUUCCUUGUGGAAGUGAAGAAGAGAUUCUCUGCGCCGUUCAAAAGGCCCUUUCACAAAGUUCUGGGACAAGCACUGCUGUGCGUGUGUGUGUGUGUGCGUGUGUGUAUGCGUGUGUGUGCGUGCAUGUGUGUGUGUGUGUGUGUGUGUGUAUGUGAGAGAGAGAGAGAGAGAAGGAGAG
RNAcentral lists this long non-coding RNA (6661 nucleotides) under Equus caballus (horse). RNAcentral's name for it is "lncRNA (ENSECAG00000039610.3)". The record is from RNAcentral. Lineage: Eukaryota; Metazoa; Chordata; Mammalia; Perissodactyla; Equidae.